RNAcentral lists this non-coding RNA (107 nucleotides) under uncultured Mucispirillum sp. RNAcentral describes it as "FMN riboswitch (RFN element)". It matches the Rfam family "FMN riboswitch aptamer (RFN element)". Rfam says of the family: The RFN element is a highly conserved domain that is found frequently in the 5'-untranslated regions of prokaryotic mRNAs that encode for flavin mononucleotide (FMN) biosynthesis and transport proteins. This element is a metabolite-dependent riboswitch that directly binds FMN in the absence of proteins. The record is from RNAcentral. Lineage: Bacteria; Pseudomonadati; Deferribacterota; Deferribacteres; Deferribacterales; Mucispirillaceae.
UCUCAGGGCGGAGUGAAAUUCUCCACCGGUGGUAAAAGCCCACGAGCCCAAAAGGGCAGAUUUGGUGUAAUUCCAAAGCCGACGGUAUAGUCCGGAUGAAAGAGAAU